AUUGAACGCUGGCGGCAUGCUUUACACAUGCAAGUCGAACGGCAGCGCGGGCUUCGGCCUGGCGGCGAGUGGCGAACGGGUGAGUAAUGCAUCGGAACGUGCCCAGUAGUGGGGGAUAGCCCGGCGAAAGCCGGAUUAAUACCGCAUACGACCUGAGGGUGAAAGCGGGGGACCGAAAGGCCUCGCGCUAUUGGAGCGGCCGAUGUCGGAUUAGCUAGUUGGUGGGGUAAAGGCUUACCAAGGCGACGAUCCGUAGCUGGUCUGAGAGGACGACCAGCCACACUGGGACUGAGACACGGCCCAGACUCCUACGGGAGGCAGCAGUGGGGAAUUUUGGACAAUGGGGGCAACCCUGAUCCAGCCAUGCCGCGUGCGGGAAGAAGGCCUUCGGGUUGUAAACCGCUUUUGUUCGGGAAGAAAUCCUCUGGGCUAAUACCCCGGGGGGAUGACGGUACCGGAAGAAUAAGCUCCGGCUAACUACGUG
Molecule: ribosomal RNA, 484 nt
Filed under: uncultured bacterium
Lineage: Bacteria
Description: partial 16S ribosomal RNA
Rfam family: Bacterial small subunit ribosomal RNA
Source: RNAcentral